This 708-nucleotide ribosomal RNA is filed under the name uncultured marine alveolate. Its description in RNAcentral is "SSU rRNA". It matches the Rfam family "Eukaryotic small subunit ribosomal RNA", at positions 618 to 1332 of the family's 1831-position model. The record is from RNAcentral.
GUUAAAAAGCUCGUAGUUGGAUUUCUGUCCAAGACGGCCGGUCCCCUCUAUGAGCGUGUAUCUGGUUCGGCUUUGGCAUCCUCGUGGGGAACGCAACGGUGCUUCAUUGCAUUGUACGGUAUUCACGACUUUUACUUUGAGGAAAUUAGAGUGUUCACGGCAGGCAAGCGCCUUGAAUACAUUAGCAUGGAAUAAUAAUAUAGGACUUUAGUUCUAUUUUGUUGGUUUCUAGAACUGAAGUAAUGAUUAAUAGGGAUAAUUGGGGGCAUUUGUAUUAACCCCUCAGAGGUGGAAUUCUUGGAUUGCGUUACGACAAACUACUGCGAAAGCAUUUGCCAAGGAUGUUUUUCUUUGAUCAAGAACGAAAGUAUGGGGAUCGAAAAUGAUUAGAUACCGUCGUAGUCUAUACCAUAAACUAUGCCGACUAGAGAUUGGAGGUCGUUCUUUUAUUUACUCCUUCAGCACCUUAUAAAAAAUCAAAGUCUUUGGGUUCCGGGGGGAGUAUGGUCGCAAGGCUGAAACUUGAAGGAAUUGACGGAAGGCGCACCACCAGGAGUGGAGCCUGCGGCUUAAUUUGACUCCACACGGGAAAACUCACCAGGUCCAGACAUAGUAAAGAUUGACAGAUUGAUAGCUCCUUCAUUGAUUCUAUGGUUGGUGGUGCAUGGGCGUCAUAGUCGGAGAGUGAUUUGUGUUGAUAAUCCGAUC